AGUGAACGCUGGCGGUAGGCCUAACACAUGCAAGUCGAACGGCAGCACAGUAAGAGCUUGCUCUUACGGGUGGCGAGUGGCGGACGGGUGAGGAAUACAUCGGAAUCUACUUUUUCGUGGGGGAUAACGUAGGGAAACUUACGCUAAUACCGCAUACGACCUACGGGUGAAAGCAGGGGAUCUUCGUACCUUGCGCGAUUGAAUGAGCCGAUGUCGGAUUAGCUAGUUGGCGGGGUAAAGGCCCACCAAGGCGACGAUCCGUAGCUGGUCUGAGAGGAUGAUCAGCCACACUGGAACUGAGACACGGUCCAGACUCCUACGGGAGGCAGCAGUGGGGAAUAUUGGACAAUGGGCGCAAGCCUGAUCCAGCCAUACCGCGUGGGUGAAGAAGGCCUUCGGGUUCUAAAGCCCUUUUGUUGGGAAAGAAAAGCAGCAGGUUAAUACCCCGCUGUUCUGACGGUACCCAAAGAAUAAGCACCGGCUAACUUCGUG
RNAcentral lists this ribosomal RNA (492 nucleotides) under uncultured bacterium. RNAcentral describes it as "partial 16S ribosomal RNA". It matches the Rfam family "Bacterial small subunit ribosomal RNA", at positions 29 to 507 of the family's 1533-position model. The record is from RNAcentral.